GGUGGUUCUAUGAUGGGCUUGGGCUUGAAUUUUGUUACUUUUCUUGGUUAUAAAUACCCCUAUUUCGAGUUCAGAGUCAUUCUUUUGACAGGGGAGAACGGCCAAACCUAAUUUCGCUCUCUGGAGAGGACCUCUUGGAUGCUUAGGCUCCUUUUCAUCUUUUCUAGGGUUUGCUUUUCCAUUCUUCUUCCAUUUUUCAUCUAGUUUCACCAUGUCUAUGGUGAACUAAACCCUAUUGUUGUUGGGGNN
This 249-nucleotide long non-coding RNA is filed under the name Vigna radiata. Its description in RNAcentral is "long non-coding RNA (VRAD_LNC008791)". The record is from RNAcentral. Lineage: Eukaryota; Viridiplantae; Streptophyta; Magnoliopsida; Fabales; Fabaceae.